RNAcentral lists this ribosomal RNA (484 nucleotides) under uncultured Pseudomonas sp. Its description in RNAcentral is "bacterial SSU rRNA". It matches the Rfam family "Bacterial small subunit ribosomal RNA", at positions 894 to 1382 of the family's 1533-position model. The record is from RNAcentral. Lineage: Bacteria; Pseudomonadati; Pseudomonadota; Gammaproteobacteria; Pseudomonadales; Pseudomonadaceae.
CAGAAACUUAAAUGAAUUGACGGGGCCCGCACAAGCGUGGAGCAUGUGGUUAAUCGAAGCAACGCGAAGAACUUACCAGGCCUUGACAUGCAGAGAACUUUCCAGAGAUGGAUUGGUGCCUUCGGGAACUCUGACACAGGUGCUGCAUGGCUGUCGUCAGCUCGUGUCGUGAGAUGUUGGGUUAAGUCCCGUAACGAGCGCAACCCUUGUCCUUAGUUACCAGCACGUUAUGGUGGGCACUCUAAGGAGACUGCCGGUGACAAACCGGAGGAAGGUGGGGAUGACGUCAAAUCAUCAUGCCCCUUAUGACCUGGGCUACAAACGUGAUACAAUGGCUGGAACAAAGGGAUGCGAAGCAGUGAUGUGGAGCGAAACCCAUAAAAACAGUCUCAGUUCGGAUUGAAGUCUGCAACUCGACUUCAUGAAGUCGGAAUCGCUAGUAAUCGCGGAUCAGAACGCCGCGGUGAAUACGUUCUCGGGGUUU